GACGAACGCUGGCGGCGUGCCUAAUACAUGCAAGUAGAACGCUGAAGGAGGAGCUUUCUCUUCUGGAUGAGUUGCGAACGGGUGAGUAACGCGUAGGUAACCUGCCUGGUAGCGGGGGAUAACUAUUGGAAACGAUAGCUAAUACCGCAUAAGAGUAGAUGUUGCAUGACAUUUACUUAAAAGGUGCAAUUGCAUUACUACCAGAUGGACCUGCGUUGGAUUAGCUAGUUGGUGGGGUAACGGCUUACCAAGGCGACGAUACAUAGCCGACCUGGGAGGGUGAUCGGCCACACUGGGACUGAGACACGGCCCAGACUCCUACGGGAAGCAGCAGGAGGGAAUCGUCGGCAAGGGACGGAAGUCUGACCGAGCAACGCCGCGGGAGUGAAGAAGGUUUUCGGAUCGGAAAGCUCGGUUGUAAGGGAAGAACGAGUGUGAGAGUGGAAAGUUCACACUGUGACGGUAUCUUAUCAGAAAGGGACGGCUAACUACGUG
Molecule: ribosomal RNA, 495 nt
Filed under: uncultured bacterium
Lineage: Bacteria
Description: partial 16S ribosomal RNA
Rfam family: Bacterial small subunit ribosomal RNA
Source: RNAcentral